RNAcentral lists this long non-coding RNA (587 nucleotides) under Danio rerio (zebrafish). RNAcentral's name for it is "lncRNA (ENSDARG00000117770.1)". The record is from RNAcentral. Lineage: Eukaryota; Metazoa; Chordata; Actinopteri; Cypriniformes; Danionidae.
AAUUACUGUGUUUAUGAGCAACCCUAAAAGCUGAAAGUGUGCAGAAGCAGUGUAUAAGCAUGACCCUGGCUAUGACCCCUGCUGCCGUGUGCCAAUGCUUCACUCUGGUGUCGCUCUGCACCUCCAUCGCAGACCCCAACUGGAUCCAGAUCCAGAACCGCACUGAUGCAAACAACAAGCUGAUGUACGGUGUGGCCUUCACACUGCACGCCUACCAGAACCGCACAGACACAGGUCCUCUCGGAGGGCUAAAUGGAUGGGGAAUGUGGCUGCUGUAUGUGCUGACCGCUCUCUGCUACAGCGCCGUCCUGUUGUCCAGCUCUUCGUUUCUGCUGGAUUUCCUCAAAGCUGCGGUCAGUCAAUCCAGACUGAUUACAACACUGCACGUCUCUACAGGUGCGCUCAAUACACCUUCCACAAUUAACUACACAAUAAACUGUACUUGCUUAUUUCCUAGCAUACACUUUCUCUCAUUUCUUUUUAGCACUGAACUGUGGGGCAGUGGUGGGUGUGUGUGUGGCCUGUGUGUGUGUGAUCAAACACAAUCUGCAGCGAGGGAAGCACGUCUCGCUGUUAAACCGCACUGA